AGAGUUUGAUCCUGGCUCAGAUUGAACGCUGGCGGCAGGCCUAACACAUGCAAGUCGAGCGGAUGACGGGAGCUUGCUCCUUGAUUCAGCGGCGGACGGGUGAGUAAUGCCUAGGAAUCUGCCUGGUAGUGGGGGACAACGUUUCGAAAGGAACGCUAAUACCGCAUACGUCCUACGGGAGAAAGCAGGGGACCUUCGGGCCUUGCGCUAUCAGAUGAGCCUAGGUCGGAUUAGCUAGUUGGUGAGGUAAUGGCUCACCAAGGCGACGAUCCGUAACUGGUCUGAGAGGAUGAUCAGUCACACUGGAACUGAGACACGGUCCAGACUCCUACGGGAGGCAGCAGUGGGGAAUAUUGGACAAUGGGCGAAAGCCUGAUCCAGUCAUGCCGCGUGUGUGAAGAAGGUCUUCGGAUUGUAAAGCACUUUAAGUUGGGAGGAAGGGCAGUAAGUUAAUACCUUGCUGUUUUGACGUUACCGACAGAAUAAGCACCGGCUAACUCUGUGCCAGCAGCCGCGGUAAUACAGAGGGUGCAAGCGUUAAUCGGAAUUACUGGGCGUAAAGCGCGCGUAGGUGGUUCGUUAAGUUGGAUGUGAAAGCCCCGGGCUCAACCUGGGGAACUGCAUCCAAAACUGGCGAGCUAGAGUAUGGUAGAGGGUGGUGGAAUUUCCUGUGUAGCGGUGAAAUGCGUAGAUAUAGGAAGGAACACCAGUGGCGAAGGCGACCACCUGGACUGAUACUGACACUGAGGUGCGAAAGCGUGGAGAGCAAACAGGAUUAGAUACCCUGGUAGUCCACGCCGUAAACGAUGUCAACUAGCCGUUGGGAUCCUUGAGAUUUUAGUGGCGCAGCUAACGCAUUAAGUUGACCGCCUGGGGAGUACGGCCGCAAGGUUAAAACUCAAAUGAAUUGACGGGGGCCCGCACAAGCGGUGGAGCAUGUGGUUUAAUUCGAAGCAACGCGAAGAACCUUACCAGGCCUUGACAUGCAGAGAACUUUCCAGAGAUGGAUUGGUGCCUUCGGGAGCUCUGACACAGGUGCUGCAUGGCUGUCGUCAGCUCGUGUCGUGAGAUGUUGGGUUAAGUCCCGUAACGAGCGCAACCCUUGUCCUUAGUUACCAGCACGUUAUGGUGGGCACUCUAAGGAGACUGCCGGUGACAAACCGGAGGAAGGUGGGGAUGACGUCAAGUCAUCAUGGCCCUUACGGCCUGGGCUACACACGUGCUACAAUGGUCGGUACAGAGGGUUGCCAAGCCGCGAGGUGGAGCUAAUCUCACAAAACCGAUCGUAGUCCGGAUCGCAGUCUGCAACUCGACUGCGUGAAGUCGGAAUCGCUAGUAAUCGCGAAUCAGAAUGUCGCGGUGAAUACGUUCCUGGGCCUUGUACACACCGCCCGUCACACCAUGGGAGUGGGUUGCACCAGAAGUAGCUAGUCUAACCUUCGGGAGGACGGUUACCACGGUGUGAUUCAUGACUGGGGUGAAGUCGUAACAAGGUAACC
RNAcentral lists this ribosomal RNA (1499 nucleotides) under Pseudomonas putida. RNAcentral's name for it is "bacterial SSU rRNA". It matches the Rfam family "Bacterial small subunit ribosomal RNA". Lineage: Bacteria; Pseudomonadati; Pseudomonadota; Gammaproteobacteria; Pseudomonadales; Pseudomonadaceae. The record is from RNAcentral.